Molecule: ribosomal RNA, 253 nt
Filed under: uncultured bacterium
Lineage: Bacteria
Description: partial 16S ribosomal RNA
Rfam family: Bacterial small subunit ribosomal RNA
Source: RNAcentral
UACGGAGGGGGCUAGCGUUGUUCGGAAUUACUGGGCGUAAAGGGCGCGUAGGCGGCACUGUUAGUCAGGCGUGAAAUUCCUGGGCUCAACCUGGGGACUGCGCUUGAUACGGCAGAGCUUGAGGAUGGAAGAGGGUCGCGGAAUUCCCAGUGUAGAGGUGAAAUUCGUAGAUAUUGGGAAGAACACCGGUGGCGAAGGCGGCGACCUGGUCCAUUACUGACGCUGAGGCGCGACAGCGUGGGGAGCAAACAGG